GGAGAGGUGUCCGAGUGGUUUAAGGUGCGGAUCUCGAAAGUCUGUGAGAGGCAACACUCUCCGUGGGUUCGAAUUCCACUCUCUCCG
This 87-nucleotide transfer RNA is filed under the name Clostridium sp. CAG:768. RNAcentral's name for it is "transfer RNA-Pseudo(CGA)". It matches the Rfam family "tRNA". From Rfam's summary of the family: Transfer RNA (tRNA) molecules are approximately 80 nucleotides in length. Their secondary structure includes four short double-helical elements and three loops (D, anti-codon, and T loops). Further hydrogen bonds mediate the characteristic L-shaped molecular structure. tRNAs have two regions of fundamental functional importance: the anti-codon, which is responsible for specific mRNA codon recognition, and the 3' end, to which the tRNAs corresponding amino acid is attached (by aminoacyl-tRNA synthetases). tRNAs cope with the degeneracy of the genetic code in two manners: having more than one tRNA (with a specific anti-codon) for a particular amino acid; and 'wobble' base-pairing, i.e. permitting non-standard base-pairing at the 3rd anti-codon position. The record is from RNAcentral. Lineage: Bacteria; Bacillati; Bacillota; Clostridia; Eubacteriales; Clostridiaceae.